ACGCUCGACACCUACGGGAGGCAGCAGUGGGGAAUAUUGCACAAUGGGGGAAACCCUGAUGCAGCGACGCCGCGUGAGCGAAGAAGUAUUUCGGUAUGUAAAGCUCUAUCAGCAGGGAAGAAAGUGACGGUACCUGACUAAGAAGCACCGGCUAAAUACGUGCCGGCAGCCGCGGUAAUCUGAGCGGGCGUGGCAAGGC
RNAcentral lists this ribosomal RNA (199 nucleotides) under uncultured bacterium. RNAcentral describes it as "partial 16S ribosomal RNA". It matches the Rfam family "Bacterial small subunit ribosomal RNA", at positions 328 to 538 of the family's 1533-position model. The record is from RNAcentral.